Long non-coding RNA from Dendroctonus ponderosae (mountain pine beetle), 467 nucleotides. RefSeq lists it as uncharacterized. The record is from RefSeq and is a predicted model, not a curated record. The transcript has 4 exons. Lineage: Eukaryota; Metazoa; Arthropoda; Insecta; Coleoptera; Curculionidae.
CUGGAUUGGCCAUGCAAAUGACAUGUCCAAUUGCGCGUCACCCUUUCCUACUUUGUCCGGCCAUUUUUGACGGAUUCGGGAGUGUUUUUUUUCUAAAUCGUAUUUAAGAGCGAAAAACUGCGAUUGCAUAUGGAAAUAUUGUUGGUAUUGGAUCUUCUGCGGUUCGACCUAUUGGGCUUCAUGAUGCGCAGAAUUGAUCGUUGAAGCUUGGCAUCCUUUGGACUUCGAUGGCUGUAGAUUUCUGGAUGCCUACAACGCAAACACACGAGACAACGGAUGUUCUUGAAUUUUUCAAGUGCCCAAGCAUACAUUUUACUGCGCCUUCUAACUGAAAAUUAGCCAAAAAUUUGAACAACCGAGCAAAGUUUAGUAAAGUAAUUUCCAUUGCAAAAACACCAACUGAUUGAUGAAACCCUAUUAUAGAUCUUAAUGGUUCGAAUCGAUCUUAAUAAAACUAUGGCAUUUCC